Molecule: transfer RNA, 69 nt
Filed under: Urocitellus parryii (Arctic ground squirrel)
Lineage: Eukaryota; Metazoa; Chordata; Mammalia; Rodentia; Sciuridae
Also listed under: 1 other name
Description: Spermophilus parryii (Arctic ground squirrel) tRNA
Rfam family: tRNA
About the family: Transfer RNA (tRNA) molecules are approximately 80 nucleotides in length. Their secondary structure includes four short double-helical elements and three loops (D, anti-codon, and T loops).
Source: Rfam by way of RNAcentral
GGGGUUGUAGCUCAGUGGUAGAGCACCUGCCCUGCAUGUGUGAGGCACUGGGUUCGAUUCUCAGCACCA